Molecule: transfer-messenger RNA, 375 nt
Filed under: Actinophytocola xinjiangensis
Lineage: Bacteria; Bacillati; Actinomycetota; Actinomycetes; Pseudonocardiales; Pseudonocardiaceae
Description: Standard tmRNA
Rfam family: transfer-messenger RNA
About the family: Bacterial tmRNA, also known as 10Sa RNA or SsrA, is named for its dual tRNA and mRNA-like properties. Its role is to liberate the mRNA from a stalled ribosome.
Source: Rfam by way of RNAcentral
GGGGGUGAACGGUUUCGACUCUGGACGUUGAUUCAGGGGAAGCGUGCAGGUGCAGGCGGAUGGCCACCUCAAGCGUCGCCGCAAACCAAUAUGCGCCAAGGUUAAUUCCAAGGCCGACGUCGCACUCGCCGCCUGAGCGAGUCGUGACGUCUGUCGGCCCGGGGUCGCCUCCGACCCGGUCUGCCGGCAUCAGCUAGGAGGCUUACUGCCACGAACAGGCCGCAGGGUCGUGGCGGGACACCUACAGCGGCUGGGCCCGUCACACCAGCUGGUUCGCGUGACUGGUGGGGCCGAGUAGAGACACAGUGAACUGCGCACGGAGAAGCCCUGAUGAGGCGACAGAGGACCCGGGUUCGAUUCCCGGCACCUCCACGA